This is a long non-coding RNA of Sander lucioperca (pikeperch), 997 nucleotides long. RefSeq lists it as uncharacterized. NCBI's taxonomy places the organism in Eukaryota, Metazoa, Chordata, Actinopteri, Perciformes, Percidae. The transcript is spliced from 2 exons. The record is from RefSeq and is a predicted model, not a curated record.
UUGAAGUCCUGUAGCUUGACUUAAGGGCUGACAGAGUUGUCCUUCUUUAAAGAUUCUUCCUUUGGCAUACUUGGUGGUGGCAGAAAUCCCUGUCAGCCUCUCCACAGUCUCUUCUAAACUCUGAUCGCAUUAAGGGAUCGGGCCAAAAUGAUCUCGGUGAGGAUAACGUUUGACUUUAAAAAUAUUAAAAAUGAAAAAGAAAUUAUGACAUUAUAAAUGAUUGUUUUGGACCCUCCCUUCCCCUUGCAAAAAAACAAAACAGAAAUACUCUCCGUUACUAAUUUCUCAACUCACCCCUGAUUUCAAGCUUAAACCCUCUGAGGACGAAAGGCGCACCGGUGCGUCCAAACCAUGUUGGUUCACAUUUCUGAACCAACAGCUGUUAAAUGAACAGUUCUUACCACUGUCACUGAAUUAGUGAAUGGGAGGCAGCUCUGUGGCUGCUGAAGGGCCUGAGCAUUGUCAUUUUUUACGCUUGGGUUGUGCUGAACAUGCAUGAUAUUAUAGGCUAACUAUAUGACGCUGUACAUGUAACAUGUCUGUAGUCCUUUUUAAAGUGCAGAAUAAAGUGAAGGUUUGGAAAAAUGGCGCGCUCUUUACUGCUUGUUCAGGCGGAACACACGGCACCGUUGCAUACAGAGUCAAUUGACAGACAGUUUAAUUUCAAUUGGAGCAACAAAUGUGGCUUUAUGAAUCUGCCUCAUGAAAGCACAGAGACAAAUGGGAAAGAGGAGAGAGAGAGUGGAGGGAAAUAAGAGAAGGAACUGGAGUUACUGCCGAGUUGCUGUUCGGUUGGAGGCUGAGUUAAACAGCAGACACGCACGUGGUCGGUGCGUCUGUGUCUAACUAGCUUACAGCUGACAUGCAGAUGGUACGCUGGCUGUUUGGGGUUUCCUCCCUAAUAACUACAGAUCCACAUCUACUGUUUUAAAAAAAAAAAAAAAAGGUUUUAACCUGGCACCUUGACCACCGUCUCACAGCUGUUCCGCCUUCUAAA